RNAcentral lists this ribosomal RNA (754 nucleotides) under uncultured archaeon. RNAcentral's name for it is "bacterial SSU rRNA". It matches the Rfam family "Archaeal small subunit ribosomal RNA", at positions 102 to 856 of the family's 1478-position model. The record is from RNAcentral.
GGAUAACCUACCCUUAGGACUGGGAUAACCCUGGGAAACUGGGGCUAAUACCGGAUAGGCAAUUUUUCCUGGAAUGGUUUUUUGUUUAAAUGUUUUUUCGCCUAAGGAUGGGUCUGCGGCCGAUUAGGUAGUUGGUUAGGUAAUGGCUUACCAAGCCGUUGAUCGGUACGGGUUGUGAGAGCAAGAGCCCGGAGAUGGAACCUGAGACAAGGUUCCAGGCCCUACGGGGUGCAGCAGGCGCGAAACCUCCGCAAUGUGAGAAAUCGCGACGGGGGGAUCCCAAGUGCCAUUCUUAACGGGAUGGCUUUUCAUUAGUGUAAAGAGCUUUUGGAAUAAGAGCUGGGCAAGACCGGUGCCAGCCGCCGCGGUAACACCGGCAGCUCUAGUGGUAACAAUUUUUAUUGGGCCUAAAGCGUCCGUAGCCGGUUUAAUAAGUCUCUGGUGAAAUCCUGCAGCUUAACUGUGGGAAUUGCUGGAGAUACUAUUAGACUUGAGACCGGGAGAGGUUAGAGGUACUCCCAGGGUAGAGGUGAAAUUCUGUAAUCCUGGGAGGACCGCCUGUUGCGAAGGCGUCUAGCUGGAACGGUUCUGACGGUGAGGGACGAAAGUUAGGGGCGCGAACCGGAUUAGAUACCCGGGUAGUCCUAACUGUAAACGAUGCGGACUUGGUGUUGGGGUGGCUUUGAGCUGCUUCAGUGCCGAAGGGAAGCUGUUAAGUCCGCCGCCUGGGAAGUACGGUCGCAAGACUGAAACU